UCCCUGGUGGUCCAGUGGUUAGGAUUCCACACUCUUACUGCUAAGGGCUCAGGUUCAAUUCCUGGUCAGGAAA
Non-coding RNA from Bos taurus (domestic cattle), 73 nucleotides. Lineage: Eukaryota; Metazoa; Chordata; Mammalia; Artiodactyla; Bovidae. The record is from Rfam.